GAUUGUUCAAGGAUUUCACCCUCUGGUGAUGCUAAGCGCAUUCCGACGCCAGAACCUUGUUUCGAGGAUGAGCCGUCGAAGUGGAGGAUCCAAACAGCGCUGGGCGACUCUUCUCGAGCGUUUUCUGUUGGAAGUUCGAUGAUAAAAUCGGCGAGGACCUGAGAUUUUGCGCAUGUUUUGUUCCUGUAUUCGAUGUCGUACUCGCUGAGUUCUACUGCCCAC
This 222-nucleotide long non-coding RNA is filed under the name Arabidopsis lyrata. RNAcentral's name for it is "long non-coding RNA (ALYR_LNC001434)". The record is from RNAcentral. Lineage: Eukaryota; Viridiplantae; Streptophyta; Magnoliopsida; Brassicales; Brassicaceae.